Molecule: long non-coding RNA, 543 nt
Filed under: Bos mutus (wild yak)
Lineage: Eukaryota; Metazoa; Chordata; Mammalia; Artiodactyla; Bovidae
Description: lncRNA (ENSBMUG00000026128.1)
Source: RNAcentral
UCGCUCCCGCGGCGCCGCAGCGGCUUCUUCUCCUCCUCUUUCGCCUCCUCCUCUUCCUUCGCUUUUUCUCCUCCUCCUCCUCUUCCUCCUUCUCCUCCUCCAGUUCUCCCUCCUCCUCUUUCCCCACCUCCUCCCCCUCGGCCACCGCCUCCUCUCCACCACCAUCACUCCCUCCGGGGCACCCCGGUCUCUGCAGAGCCCCCGGUCGGCGCCGUCUCCUCUGUGGCCCCCUGGAUUCCCCAGCCUGCCGAGCCCGGGCUUGGGGGUACAGACGGACGCGCGGACACUACAGAUUCCUCGCGCCCAGCGCUUCCGCGCUGCUGCCCUCCGCAGCCCCGCGUCUGGGGAGCUGGAAUCGCCACGGGAGCCCUCGAGGGUCAAAUCAGACUCUAAAUUGCUGAAAAAAACUGAAGAUGAGAGGCAGAAUGACAAAAAGACCCUGUAGAAGGUCCUGGAGCUGAAUUGACCCCAGCCCCCCAGGGAGACAGGUAAGGACCCUGCAGGCCAUCCCAGGUUCCCAGGUGGUUCAGUGGUAAAGAAUCC